RNAcentral lists this ribosomal RNA (433 nucleotides) under uncultured bacterium. RNAcentral's name for it is "partial 16S ribosomal RNA". It matches the Rfam family "Bacterial small subunit ribosomal RNA", at positions 29 to 507 of the family's 1533-position model. The record is from RNAcentral.
AACGAACGCUGGCGGCAUGCCUAACACAUGCAAGUCGAACGAGACCUUCGGGUCUAGUGGCGCACGGGUGCGUAACGCGUGGGAACCUGCCCUUAGGUUCGGAAUAACUCCCCGAAAGGGGUGCUAAUACCGGAUAAUGUCUUCGGACCUAAGAUUUAUCGCCUUUGGAUGGGCCCGCGUUGGGUUAGCUAGUUGGUAGGGUAAAAGCCUACCAAGGCGACGAUCCAUAGCUGGUCUGAGAGGAUGAUCAGCCACACUGGGACUGAGACACGGCCCAGACUCCAACGGGAGGCAGCAGUGGGGAAUAUUGGACAAUGGGCGAAAGCCUGAGCCAGCAAUGCCGCGUGAGCGAUGAAGGCCUUAGGGUUGGAAAGCUCUUUUACCCGGGAUGAUAAUGACAGUACCGGGAGAAUAAGCUCCGGCUAACUCCGUG